RNAcentral lists this ribosomal RNA (736 nucleotides) under uncultured bacterium. RNAcentral describes it as "partial 16S ribosomal RNA". The record is from RNAcentral.
AUUGGCUACCUUGUUACGACUUCACCCCAGUCAUGAAUCACAAAGUGGUAAGCGCCCUCCCGAAGGUUAAGCUACCUACUUCUUUUGCAACCCACUCCCAUGGUGUGACGGGCGGUGUGUACAAGGCCCGGGAACGUAUUCACCGUAGCAUUCUGAUCUACGAUUACUAGCGAUUCCGACUUCAUGGAGUCGAGUUGCAGACUCCAAUCCGGACUACGACGUACUUUAUGAGGUCCGCUUGCUCUCGCGAGGUCGCUUCUCUUUGUAUACGCCAUUGUAGCACGUGUGUAGCCCUACUCGUAAGGGCCAUGAUGACUUGACGUCAUCCCCACCUUCCUCCAGUUUAUCACUGGCAGUCUCCUUUGAGUUCCCGGCCGAACCGCUGGCAACAAAGGAUAAGGGUUGCGCUCGUUGCGGGACUUAACCCAACAUUUCACAACACGAGCUGACGACAGCCAUGCAGCACCUGUCUCAGAGUUCCCGAAGGCACCAAUCCAUCUCUGGAAAGUUCUCUGGAUGUCAAGAGUAGGUAAGGUUCUUCGCGUUGCAUCGAAUUAAACCACAUGCUCCACCGCUUGUGCGGGCCCCCGUCAAUUCAUUUGAGUUUUAACCUUGCGGCCGUACUCCCCAGGCGGUCGAUUUAACGCGUUAGCUCCGGAAGCCACGCCUCAAGGGCACAACCUCCAAAUCGACAUCGUUUACAGCGUGGACUACCAGGGUAUCUAAUCCUGUUAAU